Molecule: ribosomal RNA, 387 nt
Filed under: Triticum aestivum (bread wheat)
Lineage: Eukaryota; Viridiplantae; Streptophyta; Magnoliopsida; Poales; Poaceae
Description: partial small subunit ribosomal RNA
Source: RNAcentral
AUGGCUGGGCGGCGGAGUGGAGGCUGCAGUGGGACCUGCGCCUGGUCACUGUGGUCUGCUCUGGGGUGUUCAACACGGGCGCCACGUUCGUGCUCAUGCCGUAGGCCGUGGCGCGGCCGCGGACCUGUGUACCCGCCCGUGUUCAACUCCCUGUCGUUUGUGGCCACCACAGCCGUCGACGCUGUCGUGCUCGUCACCGACUUCUGCCUCGAUGGCGUGCUCGGGGCGGCGCUCGUCGUCGUCGGCCUCUACGCGUUCCUCUGGGGCAAGACCAAGGAGCUCGCCGCCGCCGCCAAGGGAGACAACGGCGAGCAGGAGCUGCGGCGCGGAGACGCCGACGACCGCAUCGCGACAGCAUCGUCGAUGGAACUUGAGAUUGUCAUUUAA